GACGAACGCUGGCGGCGUGCUUAACACAUGCAAGUCGAGCGGUAAGGCCCUUUCGGGGGUACACGAGCGGCGAACGGGUGAGUAACACGUGGGUGACCUGCCUUUAGCUCUGGGAUAAGCCUGGGAAACUGGGUCUAAUACCGGAUAUGACCCUAUGGCGCAUGUUGUGGGGUGGAAAGCCUUGUGCGGCUAGGGAUGGGCCCGCGGCCUAUCAGCUUGUUGGUGGGGUGAUGGCCUACCAAGGCGACGACGGGUAGCCGGCCUGAGAGGGCGACCGGCCACACUGGGACUGAGACACGGCCCAGACUCCUACGGGAGGCAGCAGUGGGGAAUCUUGCGCAAUGGGCGAAAGCCUGACGCAGCGACGCCGCGUGAGGGAUGACGGCCUUCGG
Molecule: ribosomal RNA, 392 nt
Filed under: uncultured bacterium
Lineage: Bacteria
Description: bacterial SSU rRNA
Rfam family: Bacterial small subunit ribosomal RNA
Source: RNAcentral